UCUCGGCAACGGAUAUCUCGGCUCUCGCAUCGAUGAAGAACGUAGCGAAAUGCGAUACCUGGUGUGAAUUGCAGAAUCCCGCGAACCAUCGAGUCUUUGAACGCAAGUUGCGCCCGAGGCCAUUCGGCUGAGGGCACGCCUGCCUGGGCGUCACGCAAAACACGCUC
This 167-nucleotide ribosomal RNA is filed under the name Agrostis stolonifera. RNAcentral describes it as "5.8S ribosomal RNA". It matches the Rfam family "5.8S ribosomal RNA". Rfam says of the family: 5.8S ribosomal RNA (5.8S rRNA) is a component of the large subunit of the eukaryotic ribosome. It is transcribed by RNA polymerase I as part of the 45S precursor that also contains 18S and 28S rRNA. The record is from RNAcentral. RNAcentral also lists the same sequence under 2 other names. Lineage: Eukaryota; Viridiplantae; Streptophyta; Magnoliopsida; Poales; Poaceae.